GCCUAGCGAGUAUAGUGGAUACGACUCUCAGCUUGUGACCGAGUGGGUUCGGGUUCGAAACCCGAGUAAGGCA
Molecule: non-coding RNA, 73 nt
Organism: Trichonephila inaurata madagascariensis
Lineage: Eukaryota; Metazoa; Arthropoda; Arachnida; Araneae; Nephilidae
Source: the annotation of a GenBank genome assembly